This 434-nucleotide ribosomal RNA is filed under the name uncultured eukaryote. RNAcentral describes it as "bacterial SSU rRNA". It matches the Rfam family "Eukaryotic small subunit ribosomal RNA", at positions 592 to 1018 of the family's 1831-position model. The record is from RNAcentral.
CAAUAGCGUAUAUUAAAGUUGUUGCGGUAAAAAAGCUCGUAGUUGGAUUUCUGUUGAGAAUGACCGGUCCACACAACGUGUGCGCAUCUGGUUCAGUCUCGGCAUCCUCUCGACAGGCUGCUCUGCGCUUGAUUGCGUGGACAGAAUAUCGGGACUUUUACUUUGAGGAAAUUAGAGUGUUUACGGCAGGCUAUCGCCAGAAUACAUUAGCAUGGAAUAAUACUAUAGGAUCUUGAUCCUAUUUUGUUUGGUUUCUUAGGAGCAAGAUAAUGAUUAAUAGGGACGAAUUAGGGGGUCGAUUCGUAUUGACGAGUCAGAGGUGAAAUUACUUGGUAUUUCGUUCACGACGAACUACUGCGAAAGCAUUUGCCAAGGAUGUUUUCUAUUGAUCAAGAAACGAAAGUAAAGGGGAGUCGAAGACGAUCAGAUACCAU